UAGUCUUAUGUUUGUCACUACACUGAUUUCACAAAUGGUUACCUUAUCACGAGUCGUAAAUAGUCCCAUGUAAUAAGACCAGCUAAAACCUUAUCUAAACACAUUCUUAGAGUUUCCUACUAGCAUAUUAUCUAAAUGUAGCCAUACACCGAUGAGGCGUAACAUUAUGACCACUGAGAGGUGAAGUGAAUGGCACCUGUUAGUGGGUGGGAUAUAUUAGGCAGCAUGUGAACAUUUUGUCUUUGAAGGUGAUGUGUUAAAAGCAGGAAAAAUGGGCAAGCGUAAGGAUUUGAGCGAGUUUGAUUUACCUUUUACUGUAAUCUGUUUACUACGAGGUAUUCUUUGUAUUUAUCUGCAUUCGGAUUGUUUGUAUCAUCAGUUAUUAUCAUGCUAGUCACCACUGGAGAGAUUACUCAGGUAUCAGGAUGAUGUUGGCCCAAGGUUUAUUUUGGCUUGCUAUGUACGUGUGCCAAAGUAUGGCCAGCAUUGACAGUGGACUUUCUUGCCAACCAGUGUUAAAAAUGAUCCAUCACUUCCCCACCUAUCUUAUGCUGUACUUUUGGAGUGUUUGGAAAAUUCUACAAAUGAGUUAGGUUCUCACUGAAGCACCAGGAUAUGUUGGCACAAGAGUACAACUGUAAACACCACUGAUGCUCUGGGGUGACGCAAAGAGAGUGACACUUUUUACCUUUCACCUCUUGGAUAUCUCCUGUAUGUAUUACAGCCCUGAUCAGUUCAAUUUAAGUUUACAUGUAAUUAUUGAGUAUUUUUAACGACAGAUAUUAUCUGAAAGCAGCUUUGCAGAAAUCCGGAAAAAAAUUCUGUGAUAAUAUUAGGAGGAAAAUCUGCAAGGAACCAAACUGCUGUUGGAAAACUAUGUGGUCAUAUAAUCUCCAACCCAUAAUAUUCUGUCAGUCUAAACCCACAUUGUAAAAGAGGACUUCCUGUUUUAUGAUUUCUCUAUCCACUGUGGCUAAAUUGUGUUUUGUUCUGUGAUGUUUGCUGUGUGAAUGACCUGUUAGGUUAACAGCUAUCACUGACAUGAUCUAUCAGUAACCCUACUGAUAACCAUGCUAUCAGUUAUAACCAUGUUAUCAGUAAUAGCAUGCAAUGUUUAUACACACAUCGGGUAAAACACACUCUUGUGCUACACCUACACUUCUACUCAUACUUCCUUUAGUCAUUAAUUACAGGAAAGCUACGUGUAGCAUUUUUACAGGCUUUCAGUGGGAAUUACUAAUCCGAGGAUUGCGUAGUGUCUUGAUUGCUAAGUACUUCACAUAUUUACACAUUCAGCACAUUUCACAUGCAUUCACACCAUUAUCGAAAGUACACAUGGCCUACUGGAAUAUAAUGUGAUAUUUACAAGCACACUUGUAUUGAAACUCCUCAUGGUAGGCUUUAUUUGUCAGCAGGUGCUUUUGUGCCAUGGUUGGGGCUGUUUUCGUAGUUGUUAUGGAAUGUUUUUUUACUGUUCAAGGCCAGAGUCAUGGGGAAGGGGUCAGCACAGUAUAGCUGACUAACACACCUACAGCCUGACCAAUAGCGUGACUUUAGCAGCUAUGAUGUUGCAGG
This is a long non-coding RNA of Hemibagrus wyckioides, 1575 nucleotides long. RefSeq lists it as uncharacterized. The record is from RefSeq and is a predicted model, not a curated record. NCBI's taxonomy places the organism in Eukaryota, Metazoa, Chordata, Actinopteri, Siluriformes, Bagridae. The transcript has 3 exons.